Molecule: ribosomal RNA, 253 nt
Filed under: uncultured bacterium
Lineage: Bacteria
Description: partial 16S ribosomal RNA
Rfam family: Bacterial small subunit ribosomal RNA
Source: RNAcentral
UACGUAGGGGGCUAGCGUUGCUCGGAAUCACUGGGCGUAAAGCGCACGUAGGCGGAUUGUUAAGUCAGGGGUGAAAUCCUGGAGCUCAACUCCAGAACUGCCUUUGAUACUGGCGAUCUUGAGUCCGGGAGAGGUGAGUGGAACUGCGAGUGUAGAGGUGAAAUUCGUAGAUAUUCGCAAGAACACCAGUGGCGAAGGCGGCUCACUGGCCCGGUACUGACGCUGAGGCACGAAAGCGUGGGGAGCAAACAGG